RNAcentral lists this unclassified non-coding RNA (432 nucleotides) under soil metagenome. RNAcentral describes it as "partial contains 5.8S ribosomal RNA, internal transcribed spacer 2, and large subunit ribosomal RNA". The stretch from base 1 to 120 matches the Rfam family "5.8S ribosomal RNA", at positions 35 to 154 of the family's 154-position model. The record is from RNAcentral.
GAUGAAGAACGUAGCGAAAUGCGAUACGUAAUGUGAAUUGCAGAAUUCAGUGAAUCAUCGAAUCUUUGAACGCAUAUUGCGCUCUCUGGUAUUCCGGAGAGCAUGCUUGUUUGAGUAUCAGUAAACACCUCAACUUCCAUAUCUUUUUUGAAAUGGGAGUUGUACUUGAGUGAUCCCAACGCUUUUCCUCACCGAAAAGUGGCGGGUUACUUGAAAUGCAGGUGCAGCUGGACUUUUCUCUGAGCUAUAAGCAUAUCUAUUUAGUCUGCCUAAAAAACAGAUUAUUACCUUUGCUGCAGCUAACAUAAAGGAGAUUAGUUCUUGUGCUGACUGAUGCAGGAUUCACAAAGACGGCUUCGGCCGACUUUGUAAACUCGAUCUCAAAUCAAGUAAGACUACCCGCUGAACUUAAGCAUAUCAAUAAGCGGAGGA